GCCGGGCGCGGUGGCGCACGCCUGCAAACCCAGCAGCUCAGGAGGCUGAGGCAGGAGGAUCGCAAGUGCAAAACCAGCCUCAGCAACUUAGUGAGACUCUGUCUUUA
Molecule: small RNA, 107 nt
Filed under: Marmota monax (woodchuck)
Lineage: Eukaryota; Metazoa; Chordata; Mammalia; Rodentia; Sciuridae
Source: RNAcentral